CGGGAAGUGGCGCAGUUUGGCUAGCGCGCUUGAAUGGGGUUCAAGAGGUCGCGGGUUCAAGUCCCGCCUUCCCGA
RNAcentral lists this transfer RNA (75 nucleotides) under Candidatus Omnitrophota bacterium. RNAcentral describes it as "Candidatus Omnitrophica bacterium tRNA-Pro". It matches the Rfam family "tRNA". From Rfam's summary of the family: Transfer RNA (tRNA) molecules are approximately 80 nucleotides in length. Their secondary structure includes four short double-helical elements and three loops (D, anti-codon, and T loops). Lineage: Bacteria; Pseudomonadati; Candidatus Omnitrophota. The record is from RNAcentral.